AACCUAGCAACGUAGGAAGUGACACGCUAACAGCCAAUCGUGUAACAGUAUCAUGUUUGGUUGCGCCAUAUCGUCGUCUCGUGCCGGUCUGCUGGAGCGAGCGAGCUCAGCUCUCGGUAGAAGAGUGAAAGUGCUCCGACACUUUAUUAACAACAGAGGCCUUACAAAAAAAAAAAGCACAGAGCUCUGGAGUAGCUCACGUACGAGAGCGAGAGAAGAAAAGGAGAAAUAGCACACAGGAAUACCUCAGGAAAACAGAAGAGGAGUUGAGGAGUGCGCUGGUUAGGUGAGGAGGAGAGGAGGUGAGGUCCUGUCACUUGGCUUCGUUCCUCUCUCUCACUCUCUCUCUCUUGCAGUCCAAAGGUUGCACAAAAUAACAACAUGGCAGAAGCACUAACCGGCUCUCAUAAGGUCUGAGCACCCUGGGACAGAAAGGUCAGGCUAUAACCACAUCCUCGGUGAAGUGGAGGGCAGCGCUGUUUUUAGCAUUGUGCAGCAUGAUGACAUUCGAUACUGGCUCUCUGAUUGCAUUGUUGCUGUAACACAGGAACAUGACAGACCAUUAAGAGCAAUCAGAGGCUUUUUCUAUCCCAUUUAACAUCAAAAUCAGUCAUGGACAAAGACGUCUUCAACCGGGACUUCAAACUAGUGUCAAGUGAUUUUGUUGUCAUUUUUAUUGGAUCCGUUUUGUUUCUGCAUUAAAACACAUACACACCACACACACACACAUACACACCACACACAUACACACACACCACACACACACACACACACACACACACACACAUAUAUACUCACACCACACACAC
Molecule: long non-coding RNA, 809 nt
Organism: Tachysurus fulvidraco (yellow catfish)
Lineage: Eukaryota; Metazoa; Chordata; Actinopteri; Siluriformes; Bagridae
Exons: 6
Source: RefSeq, a predicted model, not a curated record